RNAcentral lists this ribosomal RNA (254 nucleotides) under uncultured bacterium. RNAcentral's name for it is "partial 16S ribosomal RNA". It matches the Rfam family "Bacterial small subunit ribosomal RNA", at positions 524 to 776 of the family's 1533-position model. The record is from RNAcentral.
GACGAACCGUGCGAACGUUAUUCGGAAUCAUUGGGCUUAAAGCGCGUGUAGGCGGGUUCGUGCGUCUGUCGCUGAAAUCCCCCGGCUCAACCGGGGAACGGGCGCGGAUACGACGAGCCUGGAGGGGCAUAGGGAGACCUGGAACUUCCGGUGGAGCGGUGAAAUGCGUUGAGAUCGGAAGGAACGCCCGUGGCGAAAGCGAGGUCCUGGAUGCCUACUGACGCUGAGACGCGAAAGCCAGGGGAGCGAACGGG